GCGUUAUUGGUUUAAUGGUAGAACAUCAGUCUUCCAAACUGAGGGUACGGGUUCGAUUCCCAUAUAGCGCUUA
Molecule: transfer RNA, 73 nt
Filed under: Siphoviridae sp. ctXZx16
Lineage: Duplodnaviria; Heunggongvirae; Uroviricota; Caudoviricetes
Description: tRNA-Gly
Rfam family: tRNA
About the family: Transfer RNA (tRNA) molecules are approximately 80 nucleotides in length. Their secondary structure includes four short double-helical elements and three loops (D, anti-codon, and T loops).
Source: RNAcentral